This 399-nucleotide ribosomal RNA is filed under the name Triticum aestivum (bread wheat). Its description in RNAcentral is "partial small subunit ribosomal RNA". The record is from RNAcentral. Lineage: Eukaryota; Viridiplantae; Streptophyta; Magnoliopsida; Poales; Poaceae.
AUGAAAAUGGGAGGAGAAGAACUGGCCACCAAUGCGGGGAUAAGAGAGAAGGCUUUCCACCACCCAUCGCCACUUUCCACACAGUUGUACAAGGUUGUCUUGUGUGAGCCAAUCACAAACGUCCAACCCACCUGUCAGGGCACACCAUGUACCCGACAACGAAUGCCACAUAAACGCGAUAACAAGCCGGCCCCCACUGGAGCCUCUCCCCGAUGCAAAAGAGAGGACGAUCGAGAAACUCAGCAAAGAGGAGUCAUCACCAAACCCGGGCAUUUCAAAAAUGACGGAAAACAAAUCAGCGAUAGAGGACGUGCGAGAAUGGUAGGCCAAAAUGAGGACAAGAGAAGGAUCGAAUUAGACGGCUACCAUUUCAAAAGUGCCGCAUACCCCCAUUCCUAG